AUGCAAGAUUAUUUUUCGGAGGAUCCUACAUAUCCUGCACACCUCGUCCGCAGAUUGUACCGAAUGCGCCGAUCCCUUUUUGUGAAAAUUGUUGAAGCUUGCGAGGCAAAUUGUCGGUAUUUCACUCAGAGAAGGAAUGUCGCGGGCUUAAAGGGAUUUAGUGCA
RNAcentral lists this ribosomal RNA (165 nucleotides) under Triticum aestivum (bread wheat). Its description in RNAcentral is "partial small subunit ribosomal RNA". Lineage: Eukaryota; Viridiplantae; Streptophyta; Magnoliopsida; Poales; Poaceae. The record is from RNAcentral.